This is a long non-coding RNA of Patella vulgata (common limpet), 611 nucleotides long. RefSeq lists it as uncharacterized. The transcript has 4 exons. NCBI's taxonomy places the organism in Eukaryota, Metazoa, Mollusca, Gastropoda, Patellidae. The record is from RefSeq and is a predicted model, not a curated record.
UACUGGUAAACCUGUUGAGACAUGAAUGUCUUUAGUGCGGACUUAAAUUGAUUAAAAGUCUGCUGAUUCUUGAUCUGUAGUGGAAGUUCGUUCCAUAAUAUAGGACAAGCUGAUCUGAAAGACCUAUACCCAUAUGACUUUAAAUUAUAUCUUGGAACAACUAGUGACUGUUUAUUUUGAGAGUGAAGUGACCUAAUAGGGUUGUAGUCAUAUAAGAGUUCAGAUAAGUAUUGAGGAGCUGCGUUAUUGCGACAUUUAUACACUAAUAUUUCACUUUUACUGAACCUGAUUACAUUACAGCAUGGUGAUACAUCAUUUUUCAACAGCAAGUUAACCAUCAAGGUCAACUGCCAAUUGUCAGAUUAGUAGUCGUCUCGAUUCGCACUUUUGUAGAAGAUUAUUAGAAAGAGAUUGUACUUCGUUUCCUAAAGUCCCUGAAUGUGGUACAGAUGGUGUUACCUACAUUAACCAAUGUGACUAUACUCAAGCCAGAUGCAAGGGUAUCCAUACAGAUAUAGCCCAUAAAGGUAGCUGUACACCAACCAGUACUAAUCAGACAAUGCCUGGUUUUAAUGGUGAUCAAGCAGCUUUAGAUUAUCUCUGUAUUCAAC